GUACGACUCUCGACAGUGGAUAUCUCGACCCCAGCAACGAUGAAGAACGUAGCGAAGUGCGAUACUUGGUGUGAAUUGCAGAAUCCUGUGAAUCAUUAAAUCUUUGAAUGCAAGUUGCGCCCAAGGCCCCGACCCAGGGCACAACUACCUAGGCAUCGCAG
This 161-nucleotide ribosomal RNA is filed under the name Zamia restrepoi. RNAcentral describes it as "5.8S rRNA". It matches the Rfam family "5.8S ribosomal RNA". From Rfam's summary of the family: 5.8S ribosomal RNA (5.8S rRNA) is a component of the large subunit of the eukaryotic ribosome. It is transcribed by RNA polymerase I as part of the 45S precursor that also contains 18S and 28S rRNA. Lineage: Eukaryota; Viridiplantae; Streptophyta; Cycadopsida; Cycadales; Zamiaceae. The record is from RNAcentral.